ACGGUAGCACAKAGGAGCUUGYUCYUUGGUGCCGAGUGGCGGACGGGUGAGUAAUGUCUGGGAAACUGCCUGAUGGAGGGGGAUAACUACUGGAAACGGUAGCUAAUACCGCAUAACGUCGCAAGACCAAAGAGGGGGACCUUCGGGCCUCUUGCCRUCAGAUGUGCCCAGAUGGAUUAGCUAGUAGGUGGGGUAUGGCUACCUAGGCGCGAUCCCUAGCUGGUCUGAGAGGAUGCCAGCCACACUGGAACUGAGACACGGUCCAGACUCCUACGGGAGGCAGWGUGGGGAAUAUUGCA
This 299-nucleotide ribosomal RNA is filed under the name Citrobacter freundii. RNAcentral describes it as "partial 16S ribosomal RNA". It matches the Rfam family "Bacterial small subunit ribosomal RNA", at positions 66 to 368 of the family's 1533-position model. The record is from RNAcentral. Lineage: Bacteria; Pseudomonadati; Pseudomonadota; Gammaproteobacteria; Enterobacterales; Enterobacteriaceae.